RNAcentral lists this ribosomal RNA (512 nucleotides) under Pasiphaea merriami. RNAcentral's name for it is "partial 16S ribosomal RNA". It matches the Rfam family "Bacterial large subunit ribosomal RNA", at positions 1825 to 2597 of the family's 2925-position model. Lineage: Eukaryota; Metazoa; Arthropoda; Malacostraca; Decapoda; Pasiphaeidae. The record is from RNAcentral.
GUCUAUAUGAAUAAAAUUUAAAGUCUGAUCUGCCCACUGGUAGGAUUGAAGGGCCGCAGUAAUUUAACUGUGCUAAGGUAGCAUAAUCAAUAGUCUCUUGAUUGGGGGCUGGAAUGAAUGGUUGGACAAGAAAUAAUCUAUCUUAUUUAUAAAAGUUGAAUUUUACUUUUAAGUGAAAAGGCUUAAAUGGGUUAAGGGGACGAUAAGACCCUUUAAAGCUUUAUAAGAUGAAGAUAAUAUAAUGAAUACAGGUUAGGUUAGUUUUUUAAAUUUCUUAUUUCAUUGGGGCGAUGAAGACAGAAGGAGUAACUGUUUUAAAUUUGAAAUAAUUAUAAUUAGGGAGAGAGUGAACCUUAUUUAGGGAUUAAAAGAAGAAGUUACUUUAGGGAUAACAGCGUAAAUUUUUUUAAAGAGUUCUUAUCGAUGAAAGUAGUUGCGACCUCGAUGUUGAAUUAAGAUAGAAGUAGGAAGCAGCCUUUUUACUUGUAAGUCUGUUCGACUUUUAAAAUCUU